RNAcentral lists this ribosomal RNA (253 nucleotides) under uncultured bacterium. Its description in RNAcentral is "partial 16S ribosomal RNA". It matches the Rfam family "Bacterial small subunit ribosomal RNA", at positions 524 to 776 of the family's 1533-position model. The record is from RNAcentral.
UACGGAGGGUGCAAGCGUUGUCCGGAAUCACUGGGCGUAAAGGGCGCGUAGGCGGCUCAUGAAGGCUGUGGUGAAAGUCCGGGGCUCAACCUCGGAUCGGCCGUGGCGACUCGUGGGCUGGAGCACUGUAGAGGCGGGUGGAAUUCCGGGUGUAGCGGUGGAAUGCGUAGAGAUCCGGAAGAACACCGGUGGCGAAGGCGGCCUGCUGGGCAGUAGCUGACACUGAGGCGCGACAGCGUGGGGAGCAAACAGG